This 265-nucleotide ribosomal RNA is filed under the name uncultured archaeon. Its description in RNAcentral is "partial 16S ribosomal RNA". It matches the Rfam family "Archaeal small subunit ribosomal RNA", at positions 717 to 982 of the family's 1478-position model. The record is from RNAcentral.
ACACGACUACAUUAGAUACCCCUGUAGUCCCAGCCGUAAACAAUGUGCGUUAGGUGUGUCGGUAACCACGUGUUACUGAUGCGCCGAAGAGAAAUCGUGAAACGCACCACCUGGGAAGUACGGUCGCAAGGCUGAAACUUAAAGGAAUUGGCGGGGGAGCACCACAACAGGUGGAGCCUGCGGUUUAAUUGGAUUCAACGCCGGACAUCUCACCGGAUAAGACAGCUGAAUGAUUGUCAAUCUGAAGGUUUUACAUGACUAGCUG